GGAUGAAGAACGUAGCGAAAUGCGAUACGUAAUGUGAAUUGCAGAAUUCAGUGAAUCAUCGAAUCUUUGAACGCAUAUUGCGCUCUUUGGUAUUCCGAAGAGCAUGCUUGUUUGAGUAUCAGUAAACACCUCAAAGACUUCAAUUUAUUUUGAAUGGCUUUGGACUUGAGCAAUCCCAACACCAGUCUUUACGAUCGGUGGAGGGUUGCUUGAAAUGCAGGUGCAGCUGGACAUUCUCCUGAGCUAAAAGCAUAUUUAUUUAGUCCCGUCAAACGGAUUAUUACUUUUGCUGCAGCUAACAUAAAGGGAGUUUGACCGUAUUGGCUGACUGAUGCAGGAUUUCACAAGGGUCGGCAACGAUUCUUGUAAAACUCGAUCUCAAAUCAAGUAAGACUACCCGCUGAACUUAAGCAUAUCAAUAAGCGGAGGA
This 430-nucleotide unclassified non-coding RNA is filed under the name soil metagenome. RNAcentral's name for it is "partial contains 5.8S ribosomal RNA, internal transcribed spacer 2, and large subunit ribosomal RNA". The stretch from base 2 to 121 matches the Rfam family "5.8S ribosomal RNA", at positions 35 to 154 of the family's 154-position model. The record is from RNAcentral.